GAUGCCUUCCAUAACGUGUAAAGUAAGAAGUUAGCCUGUGUUAAAAAGUGGUGAUCCCUGCAGAUUACCAAGGCAUCCAGUCUCCCAGCAAGUGCCAAGAGGCAUUCAUUCAAUGCUCCGCUGACACCAAUUUGCCCAAAGAAUAUUUAUGUGGGAGACUCCUCAGAUUGUGGAGACCCCAGAUUGUGGAGGCUCCUGGGCAGCUGGUCUUUUUGUGGACUCCUAAAUCUGGCACUGAACAAAAUUCUCUCUCUCUCUCUCUCUCUCUCUCUCUCUCUCUCUCUCUCUCUCUCUCUCUCUCUCUCUCUCUCUCUCUCUCUCUCUCCUCAACUCUCAACCACUGGAUGGUAUAUCAGUUCACACAGCAAGAAGCCAAGGACCCACCGAGGCUGUCACUUGGAAGAGGUCAUUGUUGUUGCAUCCAGCAUCCCAGCCUGACUGCCUAGACAGGUCCCGCAGGUUGCUGAAUGGCAGAGGUGCAGGCUGCUCCACAGCAAGAUGUGAGACCAGUGUGGCAGAGUAUGAUGUGUACACAAUGAGGGACACACUGUAGCCAACCCAGUAGAUUACCCGUGCUGCAGUGCUGAUUGGGUCCUCACCUUGUUGUAGGAGAGCUGACAACAUGUACCAGCCAGCAGCAACUCCCAUGCUAACAGGCUUCUCCCCCGUGGGUAUGUAGCACCUCUGGAGUCGCUCGAUGAAGAAGAGGAUGCUGGCGAGGCCUGUCGUGUUAGCCGGGAUGCGCCGAUACAGAGCUGUGUCCGUUGGGGUUGUGUAGGCAAGCAUCUUCUUGGCAAGGUCCUCGUAGGUGGCCGCAAACAGUUUACGGCUGUGGGAUGAGAACUUGUCUUGUGAAUGUGACGUUGGGAGGAGGGAAGCACAGGGGAGGAGGAGGACGAGGAGGAAGAGAGUGAAGAGUCACAAGAGGAGGAGGAAGGUGGAAAGAAAGAGGAAGGAGAGGAGGAGGAGGAAGAUGGAGAAGGAAAGGAGAAAGAUAAGAAGGAAGGCAAUGUAGAAUGGAGGCGUCCUUGGUUUAUGUUCAGUAAAGCCCCGUAUUCUUGUCAUGGCAAUGUAGAAUGGAGGCGUCCUUGGUUUAUGUUCAGUAAAGCCCUGUAUUCUUGUCAUGGCAAUGUAGAAUGGAGACGUCAUUGGUCACAUACUGUUCUAAUGUAUGUGCACUUGCCACGCUGUUCACCAGGCAAAAGGCGUUGCAGAAAGAGCGCGAGAUCACUGUGUUGUGGGAGAAGACAGAGUCCCUUAGUGGUCAGCUGGUGACGGUCCACAACCACAGCCACUUUGAAGAGAAUGGCCUGAGCCACGACCACCUUGCUCAAGAAAAUAUCACGUUGACAGAGCUGAUUAAACAACUAGAAGAUAAGCUCAAACUUUCAAAGGUACCACAAGUGUCUUUGUAUAUUAGUUUGGUUUACUUUGUAAGAUUAAUCAUUACUGAAAACAAUACAUGGAGUACGUGAG
Long non-coding RNA from Scylla paramamosain (green mud crab), 1476 nucleotides. RefSeq lists it as uncharacterized. Lineage: Eukaryota; Metazoa; Arthropoda; Malacostraca; Decapoda; Portunidae. The record is from RefSeq and is a predicted model, not a curated record. The transcript is spliced from 4 exons.